GUGCUCGCUUCGGCAACACAUAUACUAAAAUUGGAACGAUACAGAGAAGAUUAGCAUGGCCCCUGCACAAGGAUGACACGCAAAUUCGUGAAGUGUUUCAUAUUUUU
RNAcentral lists this small nuclear RNA (107 nucleotides) under Phocoena sinus (vaquita). Lineage: Eukaryota; Metazoa; Chordata; Mammalia; Artiodactyla; Phocoenidae. The record is from RNAcentral.